This 4240-nucleotide long non-coding RNA is filed under the name Canis lupus familiaris (dog). RNAcentral's name for it is "lncRNA (ENSCAFG00040017230.1)". Lineage: Eukaryota; Metazoa; Chordata; Mammalia; Carnivora; Canidae. The record is from RNAcentral.
AUGCCAUCAAAGCUUAUGGAAACUCAGGAAGUUAGCUUUGCCCCCCAUAAGCUCUGCGCCUGCUGUUGUCAUUUCUCUCUGUCUUCCCAUCUACUUUCUUUGAAUCUAUUUUGGUCAAGCCCUUUUCUAAUUUGCAUUUUCAAAGUCAUGCUUAUUAAGCUAGUUAGAAAUGUGUCCUCUGUGACAACAGAGGGACUCUCCAAGGAGUUAAAUUCUAAUACUUUAAUACUUAAGUGGAACUCAAUAUCUUGUUUUACUUCUGAGAAGUUGAUCUGCUUCCUUCCAAGUGUUACUGUGCUGGCAAUUGAAAUGACAAGAUAUCAAGGUAUAUUCCAGACAACAAGGAGGGCAAAGACCAAAAAGGAAGAAACUAGUCCACUAGGACACCUUCAAGAAAGUGUUUCCAGAAGCCACAUCCAGCAGCUCCUGUUUGAAGCUCAUUGCUACAUUUGAGUCACAUGGCCCCUGCUAGCUGCAGUCAGAGCAAAUGAAGAGCCACUGAACCAUCAGCAUCGGGUAUCAGAUGAAGAGCCAUUUGAAGCCAGGAGGGACCAGGUCACACAUACGUUUUGGGUAGCUCGGAUUGCAAGGGAUGCUGGGGGCUGCGUCACAGAUCCUACUCACCUCUGAUCCCAGUGUGCCUCACUGGAACAUAAUUUACACUGCUGUGUUCAAGGACUUUCUCCUGGUAUCCUUCAGGGUCAUAACACUUCAGGUAUGUGUGUGUUGCCAUUUCCAGGUGAGCUCCCCCAUUUGAGGGUUAGUCAAUAGCAUGAACAGUCAAUAAGUUUCAAGAGGUGUUGAGGAGGGGUGUGGGUGUCCUCACAGCCCUCCUGGGCCUGGAGCUUGGCGUGGCCUGCCCAUCCUUGUAAGAAAGCGGGCAUUAAUCAGGCUGCUAGCAGUCACUUCCCCGUGCCCAGAGGUCUACCCAAGGACCCUCUAUGUGCCAGCUCUAAGAUCUCACUUUCCACCUCUUGACUACCAGUUCCUCGAGUGUAGGAGGAGUUUUGUGGUACUCCCCUGGGCUGGAGGUGCUCCCUGGGGCCCUUGUGGUGUUGGAGGGAGCUGCCAAUUACCUGGGCCACACACUUGUGCUACUGAAUUCAGGUCCCAUUCACUCAGCCUUCUUGCAUUGCAUGCCCGCUACGGGAUAGCUAUCGUAACGAGGAGGGGAGGAGAUCGUCGAAAUAUUUAGUAACUAGUAAAACAUGUGCACUAACCAGCUCGAACCAAUGUCUCACCAGUUGGUACAGGCACCGGUCAUGAAUUACUAGAACCAACUCAAUACCAGUCUUGGAAUCGGGCACUACCUCACAGAGUUGGAGAACUCUCAUCAUUGCUGUAACAUCACCCCCACCUGACUCCUGGCCUUCAGGGUGGUGGCAUGUGGAGGCAGAGGUCUUGGUGACAACAGAUUCCUGCUAGAGCAGAUUAGAGAGAGGCAGCUCCAGGGCUAAAUCUGCAUCUUCACCUCACUCGUGAAAGGUAAGAAUAACUGUGCUAUUCUGGGUACAACCUCCAUGAUUCUGAGGGUGAAGUUUGAAAGCUAAAGAUUAUCCUUCUGGUAGUUUUUUUAAAAGACUAAAAAAAAAAAAAAAAAAAAGAUUGAUUGAUUGAUUUGAAAGAGAGAGAGAGCAUGAGCAAGAGGGGCAGAGGGAGAAGGGGAGAGAGAAUCUAGAGCAGACUCCCUGUUGAGCGUAGAGCCUGAUGUGGGACUCCAUCCCAGGAUCCUGAGACGGUGACCUGAGCCUAAAUCAAGAGUCAGACGCUCAGUCAACUGCACCACCCAGGCACCUUCUUCUGGUCAUUUUUAAACUGGUUUUGUUUUUUUAGCAGAGCCAUUUUUGCAAAACUGUCCUUGUUUGGAAAUCCAAUCCAGGGGGUGGAAGCUGGGGUGGGCCCCACAGUCUCACCAUCCCCAGAAGCCCUGGACCCUGAGCAACCUAGCUAGGAAACCACCAAGUGCACUCCCCAUUCACAAAAGGGGGAAAGUGAGACUCAGAAAGAAGUGACCCAGCCACGGUGCUAACUGGUUCAAGUCAGACAAAUGGAAUCUAGGCUUCUGACCACUAGCCCUGGCAGGGCUAGCAAGGCGCUUGCAGGGGCAGCUGCAGGUUCUGUGUAUGGGGUCCAGAAGCCACAAGUGAAUAAAUCACAGCUAACAUUUGUUAGCUCCUCAGUCUUCAGGGAUCCCUUUCACCCCCACUGUCUCACUGAUACAAUAAUCCAAAUGAAUACCUACCAUCUCAUAGGACGUAAUAACCCAAGUGAACCAACCCAGAGGAGUUAAGUGAUCUACUCAAAGACAGGCCCCUAGAAACUAGAGCUUUCUCUGAACACAGCAUAACCUUGAUAGAAGUUAGUUAGUACAUGUUUAGAGCAAAUGUCAUGUUUCCCAAAGGCUGGUGGUCCCAGAGCAGGAGCUUCCGUAUUAACCUGGGAAAUUGUCAGGAAUGCAGGUUUGAGGCCCACCCCAGACCUUUUAAAUUAGAAAGUUUAGGAGUGGAGCCCCUAAAACAGCAAUUGGGUUUUUUUAACAAGCCUUCCAGGUGAUGCUGAUGACAACUAAAGUUUGAGAACCCCCAUGCUAAGGAACAAGGUCGUAUUUCUAUCUCCCCUACAGUCCUACAGCUGCCCUGUGUUGGAGGAGCCCUCAGGAGAGCUGGUGGGAGAUGCGCCCUUCCUGUGGGACCCGGGACCUGAGCAGUAAUUGGCUCUGCCUGCAUGUAUGUCAGGAAGGAGCCCAGGAAAGUCUGCACCAGGCCCGGUGCUUCUAAAUCCUACUAAGUAUUCUUUGUCACAUGCCUAGCAUCAUGGUAAAUACCACAUAGUAAAAGAUGCGCAACAUCCUGCACCUUACCUCUCUUCAUCUCCUUCUGAAGAAUAGAUUUUGAAUAGAUUCCCCAAGUCCCAAAAUCAUGGUGCACGCAGUGCUUCCCAAGCUUUUUUUUUUUUUUUUACUUUUUUUUUGCUUCCCAAGCUUUGAUGUGCAAAUGCAUCACCUAAUGAUACUGUUGGAAUAGAGAUUCCGACUCAGCAAAAGUGAAUAUUUAAUACAGAUAAUAAGAUUGCGGGUUCAGUAAAGACUUUAAAUCUCCUUCUGAAUGCUUGCGAAUCUUUCCCAAGGCCCUAAACUUAUCCCCAAAGUUAGAAAAGCAGAGAGAAAUUGCUAAGAUCGGAGACCCCAAUUAUUGCAGUUCAAAUUGGACAUAAUAAUUUACCACCAGGCAUUUGGGGGCUGAGCGCCGUGAAAGCUGAUUUGUCCCUAAGGGAGAUUCCACCUAAUAUCCCCUUUAAAAAGAUCAAUAGGGUGGUCAGAACUGGCGGGAUAAUCAGCUAGACAGUUGCCUUUCAGGGUUCCAGGAGGAAAAGUCCCUGGAGCACAUCCUUUGUAGUAAGUGCUGCUUGGGUAAUUGCUUUCAUUUGAUGGGAGUGCUCUGCACAAUCUCCUGAUGAAUUUAAUAGAAAGGAGAUAGACCCAGAAGACAUCGUGUUAUAUAUUGAGCCACGAGACCAGUUCAUCUAAACCUGAGAGACAAUUCCCAGAUUUUUCUGACUAGCAUUACAAGUUGAUGCAAACGCCAUUAAAAAAAAAAAAAAAAAUCAAGAGGCCCUAAUCUAAUCUCUGCUUUCUGAGAAUCCCCAGAAAUGUGUUACUGGAUAAUGACUUUCUUCACAACUUAAAGAAACUCCCAAGAACUGUUCGGAUGGUAGCCAAUAGCAAUGAAAAGCCCCAGAAUAAAGAUGGGUAACACGUGUUGAUGGCCCCCCUAUUUCCAGGGCUUGCCUAACCACACCUGGGGAUUAUCAUCACAAUCUCCACGUAUCAAGUUGGGUCAUUGCAGAUGCUGGCCUGCCUUCCGGUAGCCCAGUGUGACCACGACAUUCUGUCUUAAAGGAUUUACUGGACUUCUUUAUCAUAUUUUAUAAAUUUCUCUCCAACUGAUGGGGGAAAGAAAGCUAAACAAUAAUUGGGAAGCAGGACGAUAUCACCUCGAGGUAGCAAUGGGAUGCCAACUUUUAGGUUGUGAUGUUGCUUUAUUUGCUCAUCUGCAUAAAUAUAAAUAUUCAUUCUGUGAUGCUCCAGAGGAGCACUAAAGCAGGAUAAAUUCUGUUGGGCUCAUUUGCGUCAAGCCCUGUAAUGAUCUGUCACCAGUUACUUGAAAUAUUCAUGUAUUUUCUUUCAUUUCACUCAGCAGAAUCCAAAAAGCCAAGAUGGCCUUUCUACAAGAGACAGGUG